UACGUAGGUGGCAAGCGUUAUCCGGAUUUACUGGGUGUAAAGGGCGUGUAGGCAGGACUGCAAGUCAGAUGUGAAACCCAUGGGCUCAACCCAUGGCCUGCAUUUGAAACUGUAGUUCUUGAGUGAUGGAGAGGCAGGCGGAAUUCCGUGUGUAGCGGUGAAAUGCGUAGAUAUACGGAGGAACACCAGUGGCGAAGGCGGCCUGCUGGACAUUAACUGACGCUGAGGCGCGAAAGCGUGGGGAGCAAACAGG
RNAcentral lists this ribosomal RNA (253 nucleotides) under uncultured bacterium. RNAcentral's name for it is "partial 16S ribosomal RNA". It matches the Rfam family "Bacterial small subunit ribosomal RNA", at positions 524 to 776 of the family's 1533-position model. The record is from RNAcentral.